GGACCAGUCGUCUAAUGGUAAGAUAUGAGAUUUUGGCUCUCACGUUAUAGGUUCGAAUCCUAUCUGGUCUU
This 71-nucleotide transfer RNA is filed under the name Candidatus Riesia sp. RNAcentral describes it as "tRNA-Gln". It matches the Rfam family "tRNA". Rfam says of the family: Transfer RNA (tRNA) molecules are approximately 80 nucleotides in length. Their secondary structure includes four short double-helical elements and three loops (D, anti-codon, and T loops). The record is from RNAcentral. Lineage: Bacteria; Pseudomonadati; Pseudomonadota; Gammaproteobacteria; Enterobacterales; Enterobacteriaceae.